Molecule: microRNA precursor, 103 nt
Filed under: Marmota monax (woodchuck)
Lineage: Eukaryota; Metazoa; Chordata; Mammalia; Rodentia; Sciuridae
Source: RNAcentral
AGUGGGAUAACUGGGUCAAAUGGUCAUUCCAUUCCAAGUUCUCUGAGGAAUCUCCAUACUGUUUUAUAGAGUGGUUGUACCAAUUUGCAGUCCCACCAACAAU